RNAcentral lists this transfer RNA (78 nucleotides) under Acidobacteriota bacterium. RNAcentral describes it as "tRNA-Arg". It matches the Rfam family "tRNA". From Rfam's summary of the family: Transfer RNA (tRNA) molecules are approximately 80 nucleotides in length. Their secondary structure includes four short double-helical elements and three loops (D, anti-codon, and T loops). Lineage: Bacteria; Pseudomonadati; Acidobacteriota. The record is from RNAcentral.
GGCUUCGUAGCUCAAUGGAAAAAGAGCGCAGGUCUACGAAACCUGAGGUUGCGGGUUCAAGUCCCGCCGAAGUUACCA